Molecule: ribosomal RNA, 490 nt
Filed under: uncultured bacterium
Lineage: Bacteria
Description: partial 16S ribosomal RNA
Rfam family: Bacterial small subunit ribosomal RNA
Source: RNAcentral
AUUGAACGCUGGCGGCAGGCCUAACACAUGCAAGUCGAACGGUAACAGGAAGCAGCUUGCUGCUUUGCUGACGAGUGGCGGACGGGUGAGUAAUGUCUGGGAAACUGCCUGAUGGAGGGGGAUAACUACUGGAAACGGUAGCUAAUACCGCAUAACGUCGCAAGACCAAAGAGGGGGACCUUCGGGCCUCUUGCCAUCGGAUGUGCCCAGAUGGGAUUAGCUAGUAGGGGGGGUAACGGCUCACCUAGGCGACGAUCCCUAGCUGGUCUGAGAGGAUGACCAGCCACACUGGAACUGAGACACGGUCCAGACUCCUACGGGAGGCAGCAGUGGGGAAUAUUGCACAAUGGGCGCAAGCCUGAUGCAGCCAUGCCGCGUGUAUGAAGAAGGCCUUCGGGUUGUAAAGUACUUUCAGCGGGGAGGAAGGGAGUAAAGUUAAUACCUUUGCUCAUUGACGUUACCCGCAGAAGAAGCACCGGCUAACUCCGUG